RNAcentral lists this small RNA (134 nucleotides) under Escherichia albertii. RNAcentral's name for it is "RtT sRNA". It matches the Rfam family "RtT RNA". Rfam says of the family: This family represents a bacterial cis-regulatory element known as RtT RNA. The exact function of RtT is unknown although it is thought that it may be involved in changing the cellular response in relation to amino acid starvation. The record is from RNAcentral. Lineage: Bacteria; Pseudomonadati; Pseudomonadota; Gammaproteobacteria; Enterobacterales; Enterobacteriaceae.
CGCUUUUUUGCUAUGCGCAAUAUCUAAAGAUUCGAACCUGCAGCAGGUUCGGGUUGAGCAAAGCGAAACAACGGAGCCGCUUGCGGCGACGGCCCGAAGGGCGAGCGAAGCGAGUCAUCCUGCACGCCCACCAA